CCUGCCCCUCCGGCGAGGUGUGGGGGUGGGUGGGGGAAAGGCUUGCUCAUCCAGGCCUUUGGAAAUAUCCCGACACACUUUCCUCCGGGCCGGCCGAAGUUACUUUCCAAGUAUUUCACUUUCCAUUUCUUCUCCAGAUCUGGUAACAGGGUGUUCCUGCCCUCUUCCCCUUACUGACCUUUCUGCCUGGGCCCUGCCUCUGCGGCGUUUCAUCAAGUCGACAUGCUCUCAGGAAACCAGGCCAACUCUGCUCUCAGCCCCAUGGAAGGCCCAGAUGUGGGCGACGGGCCCUGCUCAGCCUGCGGCAGCUCACCAUCAAACCUGAGGGACACCAGACAGAGGGAAACAUGCCGGGGGCUCCCGGGCUGCGAGAUCUGGCCUCCUGACUGCCAAGGCCACAGGAGUUUUGCAGACCAGACAUAGAAAGCAGGGACUGAAAGAAAAAAAAAAAGAAAAGAGGAGAAAAAAAGCAGAGCGAACUGAAGCCAGAGUGGGCGUCGUGCAAGAGGCUCUGGAGCUGCAGACAGUUGCAGCCUAGAUUCGACGUGCAAUGAGAAACGUCCCAGAUCGCCCAAGCAGAGCUCCGGCCUACUUUGAAGUGUUGACAACACAUAAAAUUAAAAGCAUCACAAUGCGAA
Vicugna pacos (alpaca) is the source of this 638-nucleotide non-coding RNA. NCBI's taxonomy places the organism in Eukaryota, Metazoa, Chordata, Mammalia, Artiodactyla, Camelidae. The record is from RefSeq and is a predicted model, not a curated record.